Molecule: long non-coding RNA, 328 nt
Organism: Monodelphis domestica (gray short-tailed opossum)
Lineage: Eukaryota; Metazoa; Chordata; Mammalia; Didelphimorphia; Didelphidae
Rfam family: SOX2 overlapping transcript exon 3
About the family: SOX2 overlapping transcript (SOX2OT) is a long non-coding RNA, containing at least 5 exons. The SOX2 gene, an important regulator of neurogenesis, lies within one of the introns of SOX2OT.
Source: Rfam
UGGCAAAGCUAAGCUAGGACUUGGAGGCUUCUGGCAGGCGAGGCGGGUGGAGGAGGAAGGAGGCUGACAGAUCCACUGGGGGGAAGAAAAGCCGAACUGGAUUCACCGUGUCCUGGAUGGAAAAGGAGGAGGAGGAAGAGGAGGAGGAGGAGAGGAGGAGGAGGAGGAGGACAGAGAGGGGAACCGCGGAGCUCCUUCAACUCGCGCUGUCCGGUGAGAAGUGAGCAAGCAGGGACUGAUAGGAGGCUCCGGGAGCCCUCGCCUCCUUUCGCUUUUUUACCUGCCAAUCAAACCGCUACAAGACAACACCCUGAUCUGGCAUGGACAU